This 492-nucleotide ribosomal RNA is filed under the name uncultured bacterium. RNAcentral describes it as "bacterial SSU rRNA". It matches the Rfam family "Bacterial small subunit ribosomal RNA", at positions 15 to 507 of the family's 1533-position model. The record is from RNAcentral.
GAUCAUGGCUCAGGAUGAACGCUAGCGGCAGGCCUAACACAUGCAAGUCAGGGGUAUUAGGAGCUUGCUCCUAAGAGACCGGCGCACGGGUGCGUAACGCGUAUGCAAUCUACCUUGUACAGGGGAAUAGCCCAGAGAAAUUUGGAUUAAUGCCCCAUAGUAUAAUUGAAUCGCAUGGUUUAAUUAUUAAAGUUCCAACGGUACAAGAUGAGCAUGCGUCCCAUUAGUUAGUUGGUAAGGUAACGGCUUACCAAGACAAUGAUGGGUAGGGGUCCUGAGAGGGAGAUCCCCCACACUGGUACUGAGACACGGACCAGACUCCUACGGGAGGCAGCAGUGAGGAAUAUUGGUCAAUGGGCGCAAGCCUGAACCAGCCAUGCCGCGUGCAGGAAGACGGUCCUAUGGAUUGUAAACUGCUUUUAUACAGGAAGAAACAACGCUACGUGUAGCGUCUUGACGGUACUGUAGGAAUAAGGAUCGGCUAACUCCGUG